GAUUGCUCUUUGCCAGGGAGCCUUCUUUUCUGAUUUGGUGGGGUUUUCUGCUGCAUGUACUUAUCCCAGAUCUGUUUGUAAUGUUGCUUUAUUUUCCCUUGUGAUGAGGUAAACACAGCUAAAGACUCCAGUUCUGGGUUUGCUCACCUACAGCUCAGGGACACUGCUGUAAAUGACAGUGCACAGCCCAGCCAGGUCAGAAUCCAAAGCUCUGGUUUUAGACAUUGCUCAGCCAUGCAGAUUUGGCCAUGUGUUUAGCAAAGAGACCCUUUCUCUUAAGUUGCCAAAGAACAUCAAAUACACGUUGAGCUGUGGCAUUGAAAAAACCCCACAAGACCUGUGCCUGUGACUUUGGUGAACAGCAGCAAAAGAGAUCACUACCUCCCAUGAAGAAAAGAACCUCUCAGGAAGAGAAGUCAUCUCCAUGCUACCUAAUGUGUGGAAAAAACAACAGCCAGAAGUUUGUUAAAAAAGCAGGCACAGAACUCAAGGAGCCAAGCCAUGUCAGGUGCUGACAGGAAUCUUCUCCAGAUCUCCUCAAGUAAAUGACAUCCCUCCUGCUCCCUCACUUCCUACUUUUGAUUUUCCAUGUGUAGAGCUGUUACAGGGAAUGUGAAAAGGAGAAAACAACACAAAAUCCCCAACCCAAACUUCUCCUGUGAAGAGGAAUUUUUCCAGCCUUCCAAAUCUGCCUGGCCCUGCUGCACCUGUAUCCCAGUAUCAUCCACAGCACCAGUCAGUCAAUUUCUGUAAAUGCCUUAUGCCAAUAUGGUGUCCCUGACCUGUGCUCCUAUGGGAUGCACACCAUGGCUGUGACCCACAUGGAGCUCCCCAGUGCCUGUGGAAAAGCCACCCCCACCCUCCUUCCACCACACUUUGUUCAAGUGAAUCCCACUGUAUAAAACCUACAUCUUCUUCUUUCCUAUUUCUGUACAUCUGGAGGACAGAAUGUGCUGUCUAUAUUUAGUGAAAAAAUAAAACUGUCCACAUUGUGCUCCAUUUAAAUCCGUGGAGAGCUUUGUUCCUGAUUUUAAAGUGGGGAGGGUAGUGUCACUUUUUUCUUCCUGGGCUGGAGCUGCAGUUGCUGAUCUGCUGCCCUUGAAGCCCCAGCACCAAGUCAAAGCCUAUAAAUCAGAGAGCUUUGUGCACUAACAAACACAUGUCAAUGGGCACUAUAGGAAAUGCUUCUGAGAAGUCACAAGACCAAGGAAAAUAAAGACAACAUAAAUUAUUGCCAAUUGUAUCAAAUCAUUAUUAAGAAAUAAAAGGGAAUGCGUUGUUA
This is a long non-coding RNA of Haemorhous mexicanus (house finch), 1282 nucleotides long. RefSeq lists it as uncharacterized. Lineage: Eukaryota; Metazoa; Chordata; Aves; Passeriformes; Fringillidae. The record is from RefSeq and is a predicted model, not a curated record. The transcript has 2 exons.